CGCGUAGGCGGCUUUGCAAGUCAGAUGUGAAAGCCCCGGGCUUAACUCGGGAAUUGCAUCUGAAACUGCUUAGCUUGAGUCCUGGAUGGGGUAGUGGAAUUCCCAGUGUAGCGGUGAAAUGCGUAGAUAUUGGGAGGAACACCUGCGGCGAAGGCGGCUACCUGGACAGUGACUGACGCUGAGGCGCGAAAGCUAGGGGAGCGAACG
Molecule: ribosomal RNA, 207 nt
Filed under: uncultured Acidobacteriota bacterium
Lineage: Bacteria; Pseudomonadati; Acidobacteriota
Description: uncultured Acidobacteria bacterium partial 16S ribosomal RNA
Rfam family: Bacterial small subunit ribosomal RNA
Source: RNAcentral